CCCUUAGAUGUUCUGGGCCGCACGCGCGCUAUACUGAUGCAUUCAACGAGUCUAAAACCUGCUCUGAUAGGGGUGGGUAAUCUUUUGAAUGUGCAUCGUGAUUGGGAUAGAUGAUUGCAAUUUUUCAUCUUCAACGAGGAAUGCCUAGUAAACGCAAGUCAUCAGCUUGCAUUGAUUACGUCCCUGCCCUUUGUACACACCGCCCGUCGCUCCUACCGAUUGAAUGAUCCGAUGAAUAUCAUGGAUUGAGGAUGCAAGCAGGUUCGCCUGUCUUCAUCUUCGAGAAGUGAAGUAAAUCUUAUCAUUUAGAGGAAGGAGAAGUCGUAACA
This 329-nucleotide ribosomal RNA is filed under the name uncultured eukaryote. RNAcentral describes it as "partial 18S ribosomal RNA". It matches the Rfam family "Eukaryotic small subunit ribosomal RNA", at positions 1470 to 1796 of the family's 1831-position model. The record is from RNAcentral.